AGAUAGGGCCAGGCAGGCUUCUCCGGAGGGCUGUGCCUUGGUUUCCCAGCUGCUUUCUUGCUUCCUCCUGAGGCUUCUGUUAGCCUGUACUCAGCCUAGCAGGUUGAGCUCAGGCGACUGUUCCAGGGCUCCGUGCCUUCUUUUACUGGAUGCUGCUCUUGUGUCCCACUCGCUUUCCAGGGCUCUGCUCCACACCAGUAGGGCGUGCAGUGGGACUGAGAGUCUGCACACCCCUAGCAUCCUAGAGGUCCAGAAACAGCCCAGCCCCGCUGGCCACUCCUUGCAUGCAGCCUCAGUUUGCCGCCUCCUCGCCCAGUGGAUGCUGCUCUGGAACUGCUGAGACCUCCCUGGUGCUACGCUGGCAGAGACAC
Long non-coding RNA from Heterocephalus glaber (naked mole-rat), 371 nucleotides. The record is from Ensembl. Lineage: Eukaryota; Metazoa; Chordata; Mammalia; Rodentia; Bathyergidae.